AUACGGAGGAUCCGAGCGUUAUCCGGAUUUGUUGGGGUUAAAGGGUGCGCAGGCGGCCAUUUAAGUCAGCGGUUAAAUCGUGGGGCUCAACCCCAUUCUGCCGUUGAUACUGGGUGGCUUGAGUGCGGUCGAGGUUGGCGGAAUUCGUUGUGUAGCGGUGGAAUGCAUAGAUAUGACGAAGAACACCGGUUGCGUAGGCAGCUGACCAGACCGCAAAUGACGCUCAUGCACGAAAGUGCGGGGAUCGAACAGGAUUAGAUACCCUGGUAGUCCGCACAGUAAACGAUGAAUACUUGUUUUCGGCGAUAUAAUGUCGGAGGCAAAGCGAAAGCGAUAAGUAUUCCACCUGGGGAGUACGCCGGCAACGGUGAAACUCAAAGGAAUUGACGGGG
Molecule: ribosomal RNA, 392 nt
Filed under: uncultured bacterium
Lineage: Bacteria
Description: partial 16S ribosomal RNA
Rfam family: Bacterial small subunit ribosomal RNA
Source: RNAcentral